This 73-nucleotide transfer RNA is filed under the name Trichinella murrelli. It matches the Rfam family "tRNA", at positions 1 to 62 of the family's 71-position model. From Rfam's summary of the family: Transfer RNA (tRNA) molecules are approximately 80 nucleotides in length. Their secondary structure includes four short double-helical elements and three loops (D, anti-codon, and T loops). Lineage: Eukaryota; Metazoa; Nematoda; Enoplea; Trichinellida; Trichinellidae. The record is from Rfam by way of RNAcentral.
GCAGCAGUGGCCGAGUGGUUAAGGCGAUUGACUAGAAAUCAAUUGGGCUCUGCCCGCACAGGUUCGAAUCCUG